This is a long non-coding RNA of Myotis lucifugus (little brown bat), 527 nucleotides long. RefSeq lists it as uncharacterized. NCBI's taxonomy places the organism in Eukaryota, Metazoa, Chordata, Mammalia, Chiroptera, Vespertilionidae. The record is from RefSeq and is a predicted model, not a curated record. The transcript is spliced from 3 exons.
AGAUAGCCCAUCCCUGACUUCUGCCUAAGCACCAAUUGGUGCCAGUCAUCUGCCCCCAAGAGCCUCAAUGACCAAGACACAGGACCCAGCAGUUAUUGUCACUCUUCCCCACAGCCCGAAAACCAAAUGUGAGCCCAAAACUCAAGGAAAGGUUUAGAAAACUUUGCCAAAAAAAUGGAAUUACUAAGAAAAACAUACUGGACUUGACCAAAGUCGAUCGCUGUCUCCAGGCUCGAGGGAGCCAUGAUGCCCAGGCCUCCAGUGCUGAGUGAAUGCUUCCUCACCUGGGCUCCAGGAUCUUCAUUCCAUGGUCCCUGUGUCAGCCUGUGAAAAGGUCUGCAACCUGAUCUCCAUCACUAUCAUCCAAGAAGGCCUUAUCUCUGAAUCUAAAGGAUCUUCUCUAAUUGUCUAGACAGACUCAACAAUUCACCAAGAAUCAAAGGUUUCCUCCAAAUUUCUGACUCUGUUUGCCAUACCCAGCACUCUACCGUGAAUAAGACCUCCUGAACCUGAUCAAUAAAUGAUUA